This 585-nucleotide ribosomal RNA is filed under the name uncultured bacterium. Its description in RNAcentral is "bacterial SSU rRNA". It matches the Rfam family "Bacterial small subunit ribosomal RNA", at positions 339 to 916 of the family's 1533-position model. The record is from RNAcentral.
CUACGGGAGGCAGCAGUGGGGAAUAUUGCGCAAUGGGCGAAAGCCUGACGCAGCGACGCCGCGUGGGUGAUGAAGGCCUUCGGGUCGUAAAGCCCUGUCGGGAGGGACGAAACCUCGGCGACCUAAUACGUCGUCGACCUGACGGUACCUCCGAAGGAAGCACCGGCUAACUCCGUGCCAGCAGCCGCGGUAAUACGGAGGGUGCAAGCGUUGUUCGGAAUCACUGGGCGUAAAGCGCGUGUAGGCGGCCUUGUAAGUCUGGUGUGAAAGCCCGGGGCUCACCCCCGGAAGUGCACUGGAAACUGCAAGGCUUGAGUACCGGAGAGGAGGGUGGAAUUCCUGGUGUAGCGGUGAAAUGCGUAGAUAUCAGGAGGAACACCGGUGGCGAAGGCGGCCCUCUGGACGGAUACUGACGCUGAGGCGCGAAAGCUAGGGGAGCAAACAGGAUUAGAUACCCUGGUAGUCCUAGCUGUAAACGAUGAGUACUAGGUGUCGGGGGUUACCCCCCUCGGUGCCGCAGCUAACGCAUUAAGUACUCCGCCUGGGAAGUACGCUCGCAAGAGUGAAACUCAAAGGAAUUGACGG